CCUACGGGCUGCUGCAGUGGGGAAUAUUUCACAAUGGGGGAAACCCUGAUGCAGCGACGCCGCGUGCGCGAUGAAGUAUUUCGGUAUGUAAAGCUCUAUCAGCAGGGAAGAAAAUGACGGUACCUGACUAAGAAGCCCCGGCUAACUACGUGCCAGCAGCCGCGGUAAUACGUAGGGGCCGAGCGUUAUCCGGAUUUACUGGGUGUAAAGGGUGCGUAGACGGCUGUGCAAGCCAGAUGUGAAAGCCCGGGUCUCAACCCCGGGACUGCAGUUGGAACUGUGUGGCUGGAGUGUCGGAGAGGCAGGCGGAAGUCCUAGUGUAGCGGUGAAAUGCGUAGAUAUUAGGAGGAACACCAGUGGCGAAGGCGGGUUGCUGGACGAUGACUGACGUUGAGGCUCGAAAGCGUGGGGAGCAAACAGGAUUAGAUACCCUUGUAGUC
This 440-nucleotide ribosomal RNA is filed under the name uncultured bacterium. RNAcentral's name for it is "partial 16S ribosomal RNA". It matches the Rfam family "Bacterial small subunit ribosomal RNA", at positions 338 to 795 of the family's 1533-position model. The record is from RNAcentral.